GGGGUUGUGGCUCAGUGGUAGAGCGCUUGCCUGGAAUGUGGGAUACACUGGGUUCAAUCCUCAGCACCA
This 69-nucleotide transfer RNA is filed under the name Urocitellus parryii (Arctic ground squirrel). RNAcentral's name for it is "Spermophilus parryii (Arctic ground squirrel) tRNA". It matches the Rfam family "tRNA". From Rfam's summary of the family: Transfer RNA (tRNA) molecules are approximately 80 nucleotides in length. Lineage: Eukaryota; Metazoa; Chordata; Mammalia; Rodentia; Sciuridae. RNAcentral also lists the same sequence under 1 other name. The record is from Rfam by way of RNAcentral.